UAAGGAAUAUUGGACAAUGGUCGCAAGACUGAUCCAGCCAUGCCGCGUGCAGGAAGACGGCCCUAUGGGUUGUAAACUGCUUUUGUACCAGAGAAAACCUAUCUACGUGUAGAUAGCUGAUAGUAUGGUAAGAAUAAGCAUCGGCUAACUUCGUGCCAGCAGCCGCGGUAAUACGGAGGGUGCGAGCGUUAUCCGGAUUUACUGGGUUUAAAGGGUGCGUAGGUGGGCUUAUAAGUCAGCGGUGAAAUCUCCGAGCUUAACUUGGAAACUGCCGUUGAUACUAUAGGUCUUGAAUUAUCUGGAGGUAAGCGGAAUAUGUCAUGUAGCGGUGAAAUGCUUAGAUAUGACAUAGAACACCAAUUGCGAAGGCAGCUUACUACAUAUAAAUUGACGCUGAGGCACGAAAGCGUGGGGAUCAAACA
This 422-nucleotide ribosomal RNA is filed under the name uncultured bacterium. Its description in RNAcentral is "bacterial SSU rRNA". It matches the Rfam family "Bacterial small subunit ribosomal RNA", at positions 355 to 774 of the family's 1533-position model. The record is from RNAcentral.